GAAAGGUUGAUGAAGAAAUUAAUAAGGAAUACACUUGAGACUUUUAGUGAUGAAAAAGAGAUUUUAAACAGCGACUUUGACUUUU
Small nucleolar RNA from Uloborus diversus, 85 nucleotides. RefSeq annotates it as small nucleolar RNA R12. The transcript has a single exon. The record is from RefSeq and is a predicted model, not a curated record. NCBI's taxonomy places the organism in Eukaryota, Metazoa, Arthropoda, Arachnida, Araneae, Uloboridae.